Molecule: ribosomal RNA, 254 nt
Filed under: uncultured bacterium
Lineage: Bacteria
Description: partial 16S ribosomal RNA
Rfam family: Bacterial small subunit ribosomal RNA
Source: RNAcentral
UACGUAGGGGGCGAGCGUUGUCCGAAGUUACUGGGCGUAAAGAGCGCGUAGGCGGGUCUUUAAGUGAGAGGUGAAAGGUUCAGGGCUCAACCCGAACACUGCCUUUCAUACUGGGGAUCUUGAGUGCGGGAGAGGAGAGUGGAAUUCCCGGUGUAGCGGUGAAAUGCGCAGAUAUCGGGAAGAACACCCGUGGCGAAGGCGGCACUCUGGGACGGUACUGACGCUGAGACGCGAAAGCGUGGGGAGCGAACAGG